UCACUACUUGCGUAGGCAGUCUGGCUAGAGUUCCCGACCGAAUCGCUGGCAACUAGGGACAAGGGUUGCGCUCGUUACGGGACUUAACCCAACAUCUCACGACACGAGCUGACGACAGCCAUGCAGCACCUGUCACUCGGUUCCCGAAGGCACCAAUCCAUCUCUGGAAAGUUCCGAGGAUGUCAAGCCCUGGUAAGGUUCUUCGCGUUGCGUCGAAUUAAACCACAUGCUCCACCGCUUGUGCGGGCCCCCGUCAAUUCAUUUGAGUUUUAACCUUGCGGCCGUACUCCCCAGGCGGUCUACUUAUUGCGUUAGCUGCGUCACAAAGCCCUCAAGGAGCCCUACGACUAGUAGACAUCGUUUACGGCGUGGACUAC
Molecule: unclassified non-coding RNA, 377 nt
Filed under: uncultured Cellvibrionales bacterium
Lineage: Bacteria; Pseudomonadati; Pseudomonadota; Gammaproteobacteria; Cellvibrionales
Description: contains 16S-23S intergenic spacer region
Source: RNAcentral